This 415-nucleotide small RNA is filed under the name Pan troglodytes (chimpanzee). Its description in RNAcentral is "processed transcript". The record is from RNAcentral. Lineage: Eukaryota; Metazoa; Chordata; Mammalia; Primates; Hominidae.
AGGUAGAAUCGGGCUGCUUUCGCGCUCGCAAUGAUCGUGCGCUUCCUGACCAAGAGAUUCAUUGGAGACUAUGAACCGAAUACAGGCAAGCUGUAUUCACGGCUGGUCUAUGUCGAGGGGGACCAGCUCUCCCUGCAGAUCCAGGAUACUCCCGGGGGCGUCCAGAUCCAAGACAGCCUCCCCCAGGUCGUCGAUUCCCUGUCCAAAUGCGUGCAGUGGGCCGAGGGUUUUCUGCUGGUCUAUUCCAUCACAGACUAUGACAGCUACUUGUCCAUCCGACCCCUUUAUCAGCACAUCCGGAAGGUCCACCCUGACUCUAAAGCCCCUGUCAUCAUCGUGGGCAACAAGGGGGACCUUUUGCAUGCCCGGCAGGUGCAGACACAGGACGGUAUUCAGCUAGCCAAUGAGCUGGGCA